This is a non-coding RNA of Leopardus geoffroyi (Geoffroy's cat), 73 nucleotides long. The record is from the annotation of a RefSeq genome assembly. Lineage: Eukaryota; Metazoa; Chordata; Mammalia; Carnivora; Felidae.
GCCUGGCUGGCUUAGUUGGUAGAGCAUGCGACUCUCGAUCUCGGGGUCGUGGGUUCAAGCCUCACGUUGGACU